Molecule: ribosomal RNA, 253 nt
Filed under: uncultured bacterium
Lineage: Bacteria
Description: partial 16S ribosomal RNA
Rfam family: Bacterial small subunit ribosomal RNA
Source: RNAcentral
UACGUAGGGGGCAAGCGUUGUCCGGAAUUAUUGGGCGUAAAGGGCGCGUAGGCGGCUCGGCACGUCCGUUGUGAAAUCGCCCGGCUCAACUGGGCGGGGUCAGCGGAUACGGUCGAGCUUGAGCAAGCUAGGGGGCAAUGGAAUUCCCGGUGUAGUGGUGGAAUGCGUAGAUAUCGGGAGGAACACCAGUGGCGAAGGCGGUUGCCUGGGGCUUUGCUGACGCUGAUGCGCGAAAGCGUGGGGAGCGAUCCGG